ACAGGAAGUUAAAUGACUCUUUGUAUCCUGAAACAGAAACCUCAGGAAGAAAUCCCUCUGAUUUAUAGAAAGAUUGAGACAACCCAUGACUCCAUCUUACACAAUCACAUGAGCACCAAGAACCUGCCUGAGACUGAAGUUUUCACAGCAUUGUAAGAUUAUAAUACUGUGCUAAAUCCAGCCAUAACUGAAACAAUGCACAAGGAGGAUGAGCAGCGGCAGAAACCUGUACUUCACAAAAGAGGGAAAAACUUAUUGGAGGGGGUGAAAGAAGAUAAAGACAUGUUUAGGCACAGAGUUAAAAGUCUCCCUGAGAACCGACCUAACAUGAGAAGAGAAAACAGGAAUGCUGGUGACCGGAAGGAUGCAGAAGCUUGGACAAAACCGGACAUUUAAGUGGAAUGAGUGGGAAAAUGCAUUAUUUGCAGGGGGUCAAGCAUGUACUGCAGAAAACCUAUUGUAAUUGUAGGGAUUUUUAUUAUUAUUAUUAUUAUUCUAAUUAUUAUGCAUAUAAUAAUAAUAAUAAUAAUAAUAAUAAACAUCAUUUCACACAUUUUGACCAAAACAAAUACAUUCCCAUUGACAUAUUCGCUCUACGAAUUCCUUUUUCCCCCACAAAAUUGAGUUAUGUCCAAAACCUACUUUUGCGAACUAGUUCUAGGUUUUUGCCCGAUUGGAACCAACCCAGUGCAGAAAUGUUCCCUGGGGCCACUUUUACUAAAAUGGCUAUAACUGUUGAACCGAAUGAGAUAUCAUUACUAAACUCCGUAGACAUGUGCAUCAUCUCACCCUGUGCUUUAGGUGCUUGAACCCCAGUAAUCGCUGCUUGCUGUAUCUGCACAUUUGAUAAAAUAAGCUAUGACAUUAUCUUCCUUGUUUAGGUCUAUAGGACCAGGGAUGAUUGCAUAUGGAAAACUUUAUGAAAUUGGGUGAUGGGAGGACAGUUCUCUCCUGGUCAAAUGACAGCUUCUACUAUGUAGAGUAAAAAAAAAUAUUAAAUCAAACAGAAAUCAGUAGUGGAAAUUUCAAGCAUUAAUAAACCAAUUUAUAAUUUUUUGUGUCAUCAGGUAUUAUUAGUCAUCGAAGGUGCAAUUUGUGUAGUUUUAUAAGGAAAUUUGUUUAAAAAAAAAAAAAAAACUGUCCUAAAGAGUAAUGUUUUUUAAAUAUAAAACCCUUUGCCGUUGUAAUGUUUUACAUUCAGAUCAUUAUUACAUCAUUUGGUAGUAAUGUAUAUUAUAUUUUUAUGUUAAUAAAAUGUCUUUUGGAAAAAUA
Silurus meridionalis is the source of this 1272-nucleotide long non-coding RNA. RefSeq lists it as uncharacterized. NCBI's taxonomy places the organism in Eukaryota, Metazoa, Chordata, Actinopteri, Siluriformes, Siluridae. The record is from RefSeq and is a predicted model, not a curated record. The transcript is spliced from 3 exons.